Molecule: long non-coding RNA, 313 nt
Organism: Panicum hallii
Lineage: Eukaryota; Viridiplantae; Streptophyta; Magnoliopsida; Poales; Poaceae
Exons: 3
Source: RefSeq, a predicted model, not a curated record
UAAAAAAAAAAGCAGCUCCUGGCCAGUGGCCCAUCUCUGUAGGCACGCGCAACCCACCACCGCGCCGCCGCCCCCGUUGCCAACGGCCACUGCCACUUUCUUCUCCGGUCGUUCCUCAAUCGUCCGCCGUGGCUCGAGGCCUCCGCAAUUCCAUUCAGGAUUGGUUUGUCAAAUAGAGUUACAUAAAGGAAACUGAAGGGCUGUUUCUUAAAGAAUGAUAAGGCUUCCUAAACCCCCCGACAUCACCACCAGAUCAGCUUGACCUGAACUUCACAGUAUAUAAUAUAUAUACUGGUUAGCUCUGUGCCUCUGU